GAAGUGCGAUAAGUAAUGUGAAUUGCAGAAUUCCGUGAAUCAUCGAAUCUUUGAACGCAAAUUGCACUCUCUUCGGAGAGUAUGCCUGUUUGAGGGUCAGUGUAAUGAAAAUCGGGGUGUUGCUUUUUUUGUGAUGCUUCGGAGUUUGGGUCAUCUUAGCCUUCGGGCUAAGAGGCCUAAAAUUGAGUCACUUUUUGGUCACACUUCUAGGCGUACAUAAAUUUGUUUUUAUUCGUCUAUUCGUGCCAGAAAACUUACUAGGUGCGAAUCACGUUUAAUGAUUCCGUGCCUAUAAUUUAUCAUGAUUUGACCUCAAAUCAGGUAGGAGUACCCGCUGAACUUAA
RNAcentral lists this unclassified non-coding RNA (344 nucleotides) under uncultured Glomeraceae. Its description in RNAcentral is "sequence contains ITS1". The stretch from base 1 to 99 matches the Rfam family "5.8S ribosomal RNA", at positions 50 to 154 of the family's 154-position model. Lineage: Eukaryota; Fungi; Glomeromycota; Glomeromycetes; Glomerales; Glomeraceae. The record is from RNAcentral.